RNAcentral lists this ribosomal RNA (495 nucleotides) under uncultured bacterium. RNAcentral describes it as "partial 16S ribosomal RNA". It matches the Rfam family "Bacterial small subunit ribosomal RNA", at positions 30 to 507 of the family's 1533-position model. The record is from RNAcentral.
UGAACGCUGGCGGCGUGCCUAAUACAUGCAAGUCGAGCGAACAGACGAGGAGCUUGCUCCUCUGACGUUAGCGGCGGACGGGUGAGUAACACGUGGAUAACCUACCUAUAAGUCUGGGAUAACUUCGGGAAACCGGAGCUAAUACCGGAUAAUAUAUUGAACCGCAUGGUUCAAUAGUGAAAGACGGUUUUGCUGUCACUUAUAGAUGGAUCCGCGCCGCAUUAGCUAGUUGGUAAGGUAACGGCUUACCAAGGCAACGAUGCGUAGCCGACCUGAGAGGGUGAUCGGCCACACUGGAACUGAGACACGGUCCAGACUCCUACGGGAGGCAGCAGUAGGGAAUCUUCCGCAAUGGGCGAAAGCCUGACGGAGCAACGCCGCGUGAGUGAUGAAGGUCUUCGGAUCGUAAAACUCUGUUAUUAGGGAAGAACAAAUGUGUAAGUAACUAUGCACGUCUUGACGGUACCUAAUCAGAAAGCCACGGCUAACUACGUG